UCAAAAAUGCCAAGAUUCUAAGACAAGGAGAAGCUUUUGGUUGAUAAGAACCUCCGGCCAACAGGGCAUCAGAGAAGACAUAUCCAGUGGGUACUGAGAAAUAAACAGCCAUACAUGGAGAGGGUCCAGGACCAUCUGGUGGAUUCUCUUCAGUGUUUCAGAGAUCUGUUCUAGUUUUUGGUUGCUGUGCAACAAAUACCCUGAACCUAGUGGUAUAAAACAAUAGUCACGCCUUAUCACCUCUCUGGACUCAGGUAGUUCUUUGGGCUUUCCUCAUUUGCUUGUGGUCAGAUGCUGGCUGGAGCUGGAGUCAUCUAGAAGACCUCCUCACUCAUAUGUCUGGUGGCUGAUGUUGCCUGGGAUUUCUCACAGCAGAAGCUUGCCAGCAAGGAGAAGAUUCCUGAGACAGGCCCAAGAUCCAUCAGGCUUCCACCAAGUUUCCUCAGUUUUGCCAAUUUCCACCUGUUGCCUAGUCACAAACUUAUCAGUGUUUUGUAAUGGCAGGCCCUACUUAGAUAAUAACCUAUGCCAUAAUCUCUCGGUCCUGCACACCUGCUGGCCUCAGCUGGGAUUUCCACUCUACUUGGAGCCUCAUGCAAUUGCAGCCAGAUGGUUGGGAUUGGAAUCUUGAAGGCUUCCUUGCAGGACUGGUGGUUAAUGGAGGCUGCUGGUUUGGAUGCUCACAAGCAAGCCCCUCCACAAGAACUAGGAUUCCUUGCAGUAUACUGACUGCCCAGCAAAAGCAAUCCUCCCAAGACAGCCAGGUAGAAGUUGUAUUGCUAUUUCUAACCUAGACUCCAAAAUCACAGAGCAUCAUUCCCACAGCAUUCUACUAUUCAAGGAGAAAAAGUACACUCUACUUUGAGGAGUGUUGGAAACUUCUAUGCACAUCAUUAAAAACCUCCUGGCCUCUGUUCUUUUCAGUCAUAAAGGUAUUUGAGGUGUGUCAUGCUCACAACUGAGGAAAGCAGUCUAGGACAGUCAAGUCAGUGAGCACAUUUAGCUUCUAGGGCUUGACUUAUUCAUUUUCUGUGACCUUCAGCAAAACACCUGGUCUCUCCAAGCCAACUGCUUCAUCUGAUUCUACAAAUAUGAAAGUGUAAUUUCCAAUAAAGGGAGUUAGUACAGGUGGGCUAAUGAGAACA
Molecule: long non-coding RNA, 1145 nt
Organism: Ictidomys tridecemlineatus (thirteen-lined ground squirrel)
Lineage: Eukaryota; Metazoa; Chordata; Mammalia; Rodentia; Sciuridae
Source: RefSeq, a predicted model, not a curated record